GAUUCUCUUCCCCCCUGUUUCUCUUCCUCAACUUCUUAUCUUUUCUUCUCUGUCAAUAUUCAGUUUCCCCUUUUUUCUCUUCCUCAACUUCUUUUUUUCUUCUCCGCUUUUGUUUCUCCUCCUUUAUUUUUUUGCAUCCAUCCCGUUUUUGUUUCUCCUCCUUUAUUCUUUUGCGUCCGUCCAUAUUUUGUUUUACGUCAAUAUUCUAUUUUUUUCCCUUUUUGUCUAAUUUUUUGUGCUUUGAUUUUUAGGACAGUCUAACAACGGUGCUGAAGGUUACGAGGCUUUGCCCAUGGAAGAGUUGGGAUAGGCUAGUAAAGAAUAAAGGCUAACGGUGGUGUUGAAGGUUACGACGCUUUGCCCAUGCAAGGGUUGCAACAAUAGGACUUGAGGUUACUGUUCUUUUUCGUUUUUUUAAAAGAAAAUUAUUUCCUGUCAUUUUUGCUACAAGAGUUGUUGCUGAUUUCUUUUUGUUUCUCUUCUAAUUCUUUUUCGUUUUUUAAAAUGCAGGUUCGUAGACACAAAAGCUUAAAUUUUUUGUGGUGUUCUGCCUUUAUUUUGUUUUCUGACUUCUCCCAAUACAAAAGUUUAAUUUUUUGUGUUCUUUUGGCAUGUUGUAUGCAGAGAAGCUGGAAAAACACAUUAAAGUUACGAUUUUUAUCUCAAAAACUUCAUGGGUUCAAGUUCGUAAACACAAAGGCUUUAAUUUUUGGGGGUGUUUUGCCUUUAUUUUGUUUUCUACAUGAGUACAGGUUCUGUGUUGAAGAACAAAUGUGUCAUUUUUUUUCGUAAUUUCCUUUUUUCAAAAAAUUAUCUUCUCCCAUUUUUGCUACAAGAGUUGUUGUUGAUUUCUUUUUGUUUCUCUCUAAUUCUUUUUCGGCUUUUUAAAAUGCAGGUUUGUAGGCACAAAAACUUAAAUUUUUUGUGGUCUUCUGCCUUUAUUUUGUUUUCUGACUUCUCCCAAUACAGAAGUUUAAAUUUUUUUGUGUUCUUUUGGCAUGUUGUAUGCAGAGAAGGUGGAAAAACACAUUAAAGUUGCGAUUUUUAUCUAAAAAACUUCAUGGGUUCAGAGAAGGUGGAAGAAGACACUGAAGCUGCCAUUUUUUACUCCAAAAAUCUUCCAUUUUUAUAUGAUUUUUAUGUCAAAAGGUUUGUCUCCUUUGUUUCUCUGUCUACAUGUUUGUUUUCUUUGUUUAUUUGUUUCUCCAUCUUCCUUUUUCGUUCCUCUCCAUUCUUCUUCCUUCUUAUUCUGUUUUCUUUGUUUCUCUGUUUCUUCAACUUCCAUUUUCGUUCGUCUUCAUUCCUCUUCAUAUUCCAUUUUACUCCUAUUUUUGUUUUAGUUCCAUUUUUGUUUAUCUCGCUGCAUGUUAAUUGUUUUUUUAUGAAUCGUUAUUGUAUGUAGAGAAGGUGGAAGGAGACACUAAAGUUGCCAUUUUUAACUCCAAAAACCUUCGAUUUUUAUCUGAUUUUUAUCUCAAACAGGAUUCUUUUCUUUGUUUCUCUAUCUACAAGUUCGCUUUCUUUAUUUGUUAUCUUUAUAUUCCGUUUGACUUUUGUUUUCGUUUUGGUUCCAUUUUUGUUUAUGUCAUUGCAUGUUGAUUGUUUUUCAUGAAUCAGCAUUGUAUGCAGACAAGGUUGAAGAAGACACUAUACCUAUCAUUUUGUACUCCAAAUAUUACACUAAGUAAAAUAAUAUUAUCAUUAUCUUCAUAUCCUAACGGAAUAGACUCAUUAAUUUGAAGAUCAUGACCAUUUUCAUACUCCAACAAAAUAUUUAAAAUUGAUUGGCAAAAAUUAAUU
This is a long non-coding RNA of Glycine soja, 1800 nucleotides long. RefSeq lists it as uncharacterized. The transcript has 3 exons. Lineage: Eukaryota; Viridiplantae; Streptophyta; Magnoliopsida; Fabales; Fabaceae. The record is from RefSeq and is a predicted model, not a curated record.